Molecule: ribosomal RNA, 467 nt
Filed under: uncultured bacterium
Lineage: Bacteria
Description: partial 16S ribosomal RNA
Rfam family: Bacterial small subunit ribosomal RNA
Source: RNAcentral
GAUGAACGCUGGCGGCGUGCUUAACACAUGCAAGUCGAACGGAAAGGCCCAAGCUUGCUUGGGUACUCGAGUGGCGAACGGGUGAGUAACACGUGGGUGAUCUGCCCUGCACUUCGGGAUAAGCCUGGGAAACUGGGUCUAAUACCGGAUAGGACCACAUUUUGGAUGGUGUGGUGGAAAGUUUUUCGGUGUGGGAUGAGCUCGCGGCCUAUCAGCUUGUUGGUGGGGUAAUGGCCUACCAAGGCGUCGACGGGUAGCCGGCCUGAGAGGGUGUACGGCCACAUUGGGACUGGGAUACGGCCCAGACUCCUACGGGAGGCAGCAGUGGGGAAUAUUGCACAAUGGGCGAAAGCCUGAUGCAGCGACGCCGCGUGGGGGGUGACGGCCUUCGGGUUGUAAACUCCUUUCGCUAGGGACGAAGCGUUUUUGUGACGGUACCUGGAGAAGAAGCACCGGCUAACUACGUG